GACGAACGCUGGCGGCGUGCUUAACACAUGCAAGUCGAACGGAAAGGCCCUGCUUUUGUGGGGUGCUCGAGUGGCGAACGGGUGAGUAACACGUGAGUAACCUGCCCUUGACUUUGGGAUAACUUCAGGAAACUGGGGCUAAUACCGGAUAGGAGCUCCUGCUGCAUGGUGGGGGUCGGAAAGUUUCGGCGGUUGGGGAUGGACUCGCGGUUUAUCAGCUUGUUGGUGGGGUAGUGGCUUACCAAGGCGUUGCCGGAUAGCCGGCCUGAGAGGGUGAACGGCCACAUUGGGACUGAGGGACGGCCCAGACUCCAACGGGAGGCAGCAGUGGAGAAUAUUGCACAAUGGGCCGAAGCCUGAUGCAGCAAGGCCGCGUGCGGGAUGAAGGCCUUCGGGUGGUAGACCGCUUUAGCUUAUGACGAAGCAUGAGUGACGGUAAUGGGUAAAGAAGCACCGGCUAACUACGUG
RNAcentral lists this ribosomal RNA (468 nucleotides) under uncultured bacterium. RNAcentral's name for it is "partial 16S ribosomal RNA". It matches the Rfam family "Bacterial small subunit ribosomal RNA", at positions 28 to 507 of the family's 1533-position model. The record is from RNAcentral.